Molecule: ribosomal RNA, 713 nt
Filed under: uncultured bacterium
Lineage: Bacteria
Description: bacterial SSU rRNA
Rfam family: Bacterial small subunit ribosomal RNA
Source: RNAcentral
AUUAGAUACCCUGGUAGUCCACGCAGUAAACGAUGAAUGCUAGCUGUCCGGUACGAUUGAGGACUGGGUGGCACAGCGAAAGCGUUAAGCAUUCCACCUGGGGAGUACGCCGGCAACGGUGAAACUCAAAGGAAUUGACGGGGGCCCGCACAAGCGGAGGAACAUGUGGUUUAAUUCGAUGAUACGCGAGGAACCUUACCCGGGCUCAAACGCAGGCGGACGUAUGGCGAAAGCCGUAUUCCUUCGGGCCACCUGCGAGGUGCUGCAUGGUUGUCGUCAGCUCGUGCCGUGAGGUGUCGGCUUAAGUGCCAUAACGAGCGCAACCCCCAUCGACAGUUGCUAACAAGUAGCGUUGAGGACUCUGUCGAGACUGCCGGCGCAAGCUGUGAGGAAGGCGGGGAUGACGUCAAAUCAGCACGGCCCUUACGUCCGGGGCGACACACGUGUUACAAUGGCAGGUACAGCGGGAAGCCAUAUGGCGACAUAGAGCGGAACCCGAAAACCUGUCUCAGUUCGGAUUGGAGUCUGCAACCCGACUCCAUGAAGCUGGAUUCGCUAGUAAUCGCGCAUCAGCCACGGCGCGGUGAAUACGUUCCCGGGCCUUGUACACACCGCCCGUCAAGCCAUGGAAGCCGGGAGUGCCUGAAGUGCGUGAGCGCAAGCAGCGCCCUAAGGUAAAACCGGUGACUGGGGCUAAGUCGUAACAAGGUAAC